This 488-nucleotide ribosomal RNA is filed under the name Alexandrium catenella. RNAcentral describes it as "partial Bacterial large subunit ribosomal RNA". It matches the Rfam family "Bacterial large subunit ribosomal RNA", at positions 2193 to 2700 of the family's 2925-position model. The record is from RNAcentral. Lineage: Eukaryota; Dinophyceae; Gonyaulacales; Pyrocystaceae.
UGGUAUACCAUUCAUUGAGAAUAUUGGGCAUAUUAUGGUCAAGGAGGUUAGCAUUUCAGUGUUAGAUGGGCUGUUUCAUUGGGGAGAUGACCUUCUUUAAUCGAACUAAAGGUUCACAAAGCUAUUGAUGUGGGCUUUGAUAAAGGACUAGUAAGUGCAAAGAUAGAUGUGUGGCUUAAUGGUCAAGCGUUUGAUCCAGUAUUUAAAUGGUGUCUUAGUGACCUUAAAAUUAAUUUAUCAAAUAAAAGCUACUCUAGGGAUAACAGGCUUAAUUUUUUGGAUAGCUCACAUUAACAAAAUGGUUUUGCACCUCGAUGUCGGCUUAUCUUUUCCAAAUGGAAAGCAAUCAAUCAGGAGUGGGAGUGCUCAUCCCAUAACAAGGUACGUGAGCUGGGUUCAGAACGAUGUAAAUCAGUUUGGUCUAUAUCUGUAACUUUAAAUGCAAUGAAUAGUAGUGUUGUUUGCUCAGUACGCAAGGACCGGCAACA